AAAAGUGAGAGAUGGAAAUGACUGCUGGCAAUUUUACGGCGUCACUAGACUCACGCAGAGGAACAAAAAUUUCCCGGAUUAAGUCGGGAUUUUAUCACUCUCUAUCAAGUUAAUCACUCAGGAAGGAUUUAUGAGGAGAUCCCUUUAAAAUCGCCGGUUUGGCUGCCACCCCUUCAUUGCUAAUCAGAUAUUCCAAGCUUUCUGCAGUGAAAAGAGAUUCAUCUUUGUGAAAUAUUUAUGCAGCUAGUACUAGUUUGUUAUCAGAGAAUUUGGAUUGGGUGCUGAAAUAUAAUAAGUAAGAGAUUGUACUUAAAUAGAGUACAUUUUGUCAGAACUUCCCUAAGAAAUUUGCUA
Long non-coding RNA from Penaeus indicus, 354 nucleotides. RefSeq lists it as uncharacterized. The record is from RefSeq and is a predicted model, not a curated record. Lineage: Eukaryota; Metazoa; Arthropoda; Malacostraca; Decapoda; Penaeidae. The transcript has 3 exons.